Molecule: non-coding RNA, 185 nt
Organism: Terrimicrobium sacchariphilum
Lineage: Bacteria; Pseudomonadati; Verrucomicrobiota; Terrimicrobiia; Terrimicrobiales; Terrimicrobiaceae
Source: Rfam
UUUGCCCUGCUGUGUUCGCGAUUACACGGCGCAAACUCCCGAUCCGAUAAAUACAAUCGUCCCGGAGGCUUGGCUGGGCGGUGUGAUGACAUGCCUUCACUGGAAGUCAGAGCGCUGUCUGGCGGUCAUCCACCCUAAUCAUAGGGGAACGGGAUAUGCGUCAGAACGGCACGAGCAGGGCAAAA